This 1609-nucleotide long non-coding RNA is filed under the name Homo sapiens (human). The record is from RNAcentral. Lineage: Eukaryota; Metazoa; Chordata; Mammalia; Primates; Hominidae.
AGAAAAUACAUUGGGUGUAGGAAAAGAUAGCAUAUGAUUAAGAAAUAAUAUCAUCUUGAAAAUGCAGCUAUGCAAGAUAGAAUUUUAUGGCUACUUAUAUAUGUGGCAUCGUUUGUAGAAAAACUUUUAUAGUGCUCACUUCAGCAGUAUAUAUACUAAAAUUGGAACAAUAUAGAGAAGAUUAGCACGUCCCCUGUGCAAGGAUGAUGCUAAAUUCACGAAACAUUCCAUAUUUUUAGGACCUCUUCAAGAAGAACUACAAACCACUGCUCAAAAAAUUGGAGAUGACACAAACAAAUGGGAAAACAUUCCAUUCUCAUGCAUAGGAAGAACCGACAUCGUGAAAAUGGCAAUAUACAGCCCAAAGCAAUUUAUAGAUUCCAUGCUAUUCUCAUUAAACUACCAUUGACAUUCUUCGCAGAAUUAGAAAAAGAAAACUAUUUUAAAAUUCAUAUGGAACCAAAAAAGAGCUUGUAUAGCCACCAAGACAAUCCUAAGCAAAAAAAAAAAAAAAAAAAAGCCAUAGGCAUCACACUUCCUGACUUCAAACUAUACUAUAAGGCUACAGUAACUAAAACCUAAAACAGCAUGGCAUGGGUACAGAAACAGGCACAUAGACCAAUGGAACAGAAUAGAGGACCCAGAAAUAAGACCACACACCUACAACCAUCAGAUCUUCAACAAACCUGACAAAAACAAGCAAUAGGGAAAGGAUUCCUUGUUUAAUAAAUGAUGCUGGGAGAACUAACUAGUCAUAUGCAGAAAUUAAAACCAGACCACUUACUUACACCAUAUACAAAAAUCAACUCAAGAUGGAUUAAAGACUUAAAUGUAAAACCCAAAACUAUUAAAACCCUAGGAGAAAAAUCUAGGCAAUACCGUUCAGGACAUAGGCACAGGCAAAAAUUUCAUGACAAAAAUGCCAAAAGCAAUUGCAACAAAAGCAAAAAUGAGCAAAGUGGAUCUUAUUAAACCAAAGAGCUUCUGCACAGGAAAAGAAACAAUCAUCAGAGUGAAUAGAAAACCUACCAUAUGGGAGAAAAUUUUUGCCAUCUAUCCAUCUGACAAAGGUCUAAGAUCCAGCAUCUACAAGGAACUUAAACAAAUGUACAAAAAAAAAAACAUUAAAACAUUGGCAAAGGACAUGAAUAGACACUUAUCAAAAGAAGACAUACAUGCAGCCAACAAACAUGAAAAAAAGUUCAACGUCACUGAUCAUUAGAGAAAUCCAAAUCAAAACCACAAUGAGCUACCAUCUCACAUCAUUCAGAAUGGCUAUUAUCAAAAAGUCAAAAAACAACAGAUGCUGACAAGGUUGUGGAGCCAAAGCAACACUUUCAUACUGUUGGUGGGAGUGUAAAUUAGUUCAGCCAUUGUGGAAGACACUAUGGCAAUUCCUCAAAGACCUAGAGGCAGAAAAAAACAUUUGACCCAACAAUCCCAUUACUGGAUAUAUACCCAAAGGAAUAGAAAUUAUUCUAUUAUAAAGAUACAUUAACACGUAUGUUCACUGCAGCACUAUUCACAAUAGCGAAGACAUGGAAUCAACCUAAAUGCCCAUCAACGAUAGACCGAAUAAAGAAAAUGUGGUGCAUAUGCACCAUGGAAU